CGCAUCUGUGCAUGCAGCAUAUCAAUAAGCGGAGGAAAAGAAACUAACAAGGAUUCCCUUAGUAACGGCGAGUGAAGCGGGAAGAGCUCAAAUUUGAAAUCUUCAAGGUUUACCUUGACGAAUUGUAGUUUAAAGAAGUGUUUUCUGUUGAAGUUUUGGUAAAAGUUCUUUGGAAUAGGACAUCAUAGAGGGUGAGAAUCCCGUAUUUGACCAUUAUUUUCAGCUGUGUGAUACACUUUCAAAGAGUCGGAUUGUUUGGGAAUGCAGUCCAAAAUGGGUGGUAAAUUUCAUCUAAAGCUAAAUAUUGGCGAGAGACCGAUAGCGAACAAGUACCGUGAGGGAAAGAUGAAAAGAACUUUGAAAAGAGAGUUAAACAGUACGUGAAAUUGUCAAAAGGGAAGCGUUUGACACCAGUGUUGUUUUCUCGAAAAUCAAUUAAAAGGAGUUAGAUUUUGUUGUGUAUUGACCUUAACAGCUUGCAUUCCAAUUUUCUUGCUUUUUUUAAUGCACUUUUCGUUUAACAAGUCAACAUCAGUUUCUUUUGUUGUAAAAAGGUCAUUGGAAGGUGGCUUUCUUUUCGGAGAAAGUGUUUAUAGCCUUUGACUCCUGCAAUCGGAGAGACUGAGGUCUUCAGCGUAGAUCCUUCGGGGUUAGAUACAUUUGUGCUAAGUUAUAGCUUUUUAUAGACAACUUGUUGACUAUGAUUAGUCUUGUAGCUUACUCGCUUAUGCUAUUUUACCUACGCUUAGGAUGUUGACACACGCGCGUGCUC
Molecule: ribosomal RNA, 772 nt
Filed under: uncultured Neocallimastigales
Lineage: Eukaryota; Fungi; Neocallimastigomycota; Neocallimastigomycetes; Neocallimastigales
Description: partial large subunit ribosomal RNA
Rfam family: Eukaryotic large subunit ribosomal RNA
Source: RNAcentral